This 78-nucleotide transfer RNA is filed under the name Streptomyces smaragdinus. RNAcentral describes it as "Streptomyces sp. RB5 tRNA-Gln". Lineage: Bacteria; Bacillati; Actinomycetota; Actinomycetes; Kitasatosporales; Streptomycetaceae. The record is from RNAcentral.
GAUCCGGUGGCCCGGCGGCAGGUUCCCGGUCCUGACCCGGGCUCGGUGACGGAGUCGUUCGAGGCGGGCCCGCAUCUC